UCAACACAAUAUUCAUUAAAGCCCAAAAGAACAAAAUUCGGUACAAACAUUUAGCCCAGAUAAAACCCAAUGACUUUACACUGUUAAUGAAAAGAUAAACAUAAGUUGACGAUUUAACACGUGUAAAAUAAUCAUGGAAAACAUCCCACGUGUCCAUCGGAGAGAGUAGAAACAGCCACACCAUCUCUGCCGCAGGCAUGCAUCGCCGAUUGUGCUCAGCAAAAUAAUUUGCUGUCGCCGAUUGUGCUCAGCAAAAUAAUUUGUUGUCACCGCCGUGAAACGUCAAAUCAUGGCUGGAUGUACCAAAGAACCUUUUGCAAUUUCGCCGAGAGAGAGAUCGAAGAGGCUAAGCUUGAAACGCCGGAAUAAAACCUCGGUAAGCUGGAGACGGAAUAUUCUCCAGGGAGCCACCAGAACACGGCGAGAACACCAGAUCGUCAUACUCCUCUCUAAGAUAACCGCAUCACCUUAUUAACUCCUCCAUAAAAAAACCAUCGCUCCUUUUAAUCAUCUAGGAUGAGUGGAGAUUCACAUUUCAUAAAAAAAUAAUAAGCACCGGUGAGGCAAAAUCUCAUCAAAUCUUUCGGAAUUUGACUUCUUCGAAAUCAUACGAAGAAUCGAAUAAAACAUGCAAAAGGAGAUGAUUUAAAAACUACUAAACACAAAACACAAAAAUCGAACAAGUCAAAAAUAAUAUCCAAUAAACGAAAAAAGAUACAAACAAAGAUCCGGUCUAAUCAGACUUAUUCUCCAAAAAAUAUAUAUAGUGCCGGCAUCGGAUUACCACCGGACACCGGCCAAAAAGAUAAAACAACAAUGAAAAGUUUUCGAAGAAACUUGAGAGAAUUUUUCUCUUUCUAGAAAAACAUUUUUUUUAAAUUGAAGUUGUUGG
This 892-nucleotide long non-coding RNA is filed under the name Eutrema salsugineum. RNAcentral's name for it is "long non-coding RNA (ESAL_LNC000203)". Lineage: Eukaryota; Viridiplantae; Streptophyta; Magnoliopsida; Brassicales; Brassicaceae. The record is from RNAcentral.